CUUUGUUUAACCCUCAGCAACUCUUCUUCUUCAGGUACUUUGUUUAACUCUCAGCAACUCUUCUUCUUCAGGUACUUUGUUUAACCCUCAGCAACCCUUCUUCUUCAGGUACUUAGUUUAACCCUCAGCAACUCUUCUUCUUCAGGUACUUUGUUUAACCCUCAGCAACUCUUCUUCUUCAGGUACUUUGUUUAACCCUCAGCAACUCUUCUUCUUCAGGUACUUUGUUUAACCCUCAGCAACUCUUCUUCUUCAGGUACUUUGUUUAACCCUCAGCAACUCUUCUUCUUCAGGUACUUUGUUUAACCCUCAGCAACUCUUCUUCUUCAGGUACUUUGUUUAACCCUCAGCAACUCUUCUUCUUCAGGUACUUUGUUUAACCCUCAGCAACUCUUCUUCUUCAGGUACUUUGUUUAACCCUCAGCAACUCUUCUUCUUCAGGUACUUUGUUUAACUCUCAGCAACUCUUCUUCUUCAGGUACUUUGUUUAACUCUCAGCAACUCUUCUUCUUCGGGUACUUUGUUUAACUCUCAGCAACUCUUCUUCUUCAGGUACUUUGUUUAACUCUCAGCAACUCUUCUUCGUCUUCAGGUACUUUGUUUAACCCUCAGCAACUCUUCUUCUUCAGGUACUUUGUUUAACUCUCAGCAACUCUU
Long non-coding RNA from Oncorhynchus keta (chum salmon), 657 nucleotides. RefSeq lists it as uncharacterized. The transcript has 3 exons. Lineage: Eukaryota; Metazoa; Chordata; Actinopteri; Salmoniformes; Salmonidae. The record is from RefSeq and is a predicted model, not a curated record.